GUAAUUAUCUCGAUUCAGGACUGAAAACACCAAAUAUUCUUCAGUUUUUCACCAAACUGGGGUGAAAUGUGACAAAUGGGUGAAUAGAAAGAUAUAUUUACAACGCUCGUGUUACAUUUACACCAUUAAUUUUAUGAUUUGGUGAAUUUCAGACGUUUUAGAGAGGGGAAAAACAGGAGAAACCACGACGGAGACGCAGAGAAAUCCAAGCGGUGAGAGGCUGGGUUUCAACUGUAGGGAGCAGCAGUCGUCUUCACAAAAGGACCAGGAGGACGAGGAAGAGGAGGAGGAGGAGGAGGAGGAAGAUCUGAUGUGGUGAGCCCAAACACCUCGCUCCAAUUUGAUGACACGUUCCCACUUUGGUGACGAAUUUGACGCAGCACUGAGCUGGAGAAGCCAUGCCUCCAGGAAGCUCUCUGCCGUGAUUGAAAUGUACACAGACACGCCCACGAAGCGCAGAGCCAGAUUUCCAGCCACGUCUCAGCUGUGA
Molecule: long non-coding RNA, 490 nt
Filed under: Gouania willdenowi (blunt-snouted clingfish)
Lineage: Eukaryota; Metazoa; Chordata; Actinopteri; Blenniiformes; Gobiesocidae
Description: lncRNA (ENSGWIG00000001338.1)
Source: RNAcentral